AGGUGAACCUGCGGAAGGAUCAUUCAUAAUCGAGUGUUUUAUGGCACUCUUUAAAAAAUCCAUAUCCACCUUGUGUGCAACGUUUUUGAACUCUCUCUGGCGUUAAAAAACCAAGAGGGUUUGAUUAACUUAACUUAACACCUUUAAAGCAGUUUGUCUGAAUAUCUAUCUCUGAAUAAACAUAAUUCAAAAAUACAACUUUCAACAACGGAUCUCUUGGCUCUCG
RNAcentral lists this unclassified non-coding RNA (226 nucleotides) under uncultured fungus. Its description in RNAcentral is "partial contains 18S rRNA, ITS1 and 5.8S rRNA". The record is from RNAcentral. Lineage: Eukaryota; Fungi.